This 406-nucleotide ribosomal RNA is filed under the name uncultured bacterium. RNAcentral's name for it is "partial 16S ribosomal RNA". It matches the Rfam family "Bacterial small subunit ribosomal RNA", at positions 28 to 526 of the family's 1533-position model. The record is from RNAcentral.
GAUGAACGCUAGCUACAGGCUUAACACAUGCAAGUCGAGGGACCGGCGCACGGGUGAGUAACACGUAUCCAACCUGCCCUUUACUCGGCGAUAGCCUUUCGAAAGAAAGAUUAAUACCCGCUAUAAAGGAUGGGGAUGCGUGUCAUUAGGUUGGUGGUGCGGGAACGGCCCACCAAGCCUUCGAUGGAUAGGGGUUCUGAUAGGAAGGUCCCCCACAUUGGAAAUGAUACACGGUCCAGACUCCUACGGACGGCAGCAGUGAGGAAUAUUGGUCAAUGGUCGGUAGCCUGAACCAGCCAAGUAGCGUGAAGGAUGAAGGCUUAUGGGUCGUAAACUUCUUUUAUAUAAGAAUAGGUAUUAUAUGAAUAAGGAUCGGCUAACUCCGUGCCAGCAGCCGCGGUAAUAC